UCCAGAUGGCCUAUGAACUAAAUGAAAUAAAGAAAAUUGGAUUGGGUCUCAUUGGCUUUGGCAUCUUUUUCUCAUUUCUUGCUAUACUUCUGUUUUUCGAUAGGGGUUUACUUGCCCUAGGGAAUAUAUUUUGGUUAGCAGGUGUAGCCAUAUUGCUUGGUUGGCGUUCUACUUUGAAUAUUUUUACAAACAAAGCAAACUACAAGGGCUCUGUGUCUUUUCUUCUGGGGCUUUUCUUCAUUUUUGUUCGCUGGCCUAUCGUUGGUAUAAUCUUGGAAAUAUAUGGCUGUAUUGCUCUCUUUGGUGGCUUUUGGCCAUCUGUUACUGUAUAAUCCAUCCAACAACUGGAAU
This 351-nucleotide unclassified non-coding RNA is filed under the name Hevea brasiliensis (rubber tree). Lineage: Eukaryota; Viridiplantae; Streptophyta; Magnoliopsida; Malpighiales; Euphorbiaceae. The record is from RNAcentral.